CCGCUUUUUUGUUCACUUUUUCCGCUACCCUUUUCCCAGGUCUUCUCGUCACCCUCUUCGUAAUGUAGUAAAAAGUCAUUCCUUUCAUCGAUUCUUCCCAAAAGGAAAAAAAAGAAAAGAUAAAAAACCCAAAUUCAAAGUCUCCCCUUUUGCCCAUUCUACUAAAAAGAAAUUAGGAUUUUUUUGUAAAACCCACCCUGUCAUAUUAAUCGAUCUACUGGAUAACUUUCUUUUCAACUCUCAAAUGGAGGGAACGGAAGAUACCAAGUCUGAGGCGCAUUUAACCUCUGCGGCAGCUUUUGUGGAAGGGGGAAUUCAGGAUGCUUGUGAUGAUGCUUGCAGUAUAUGCCUUGAAGAAUUUUGUGAAAGUGAUCCAUCGACAGUGACCAGCUGCAAGCACGAGUUUCAUCUUCAGUGCAUUCUCGAAUGGUGUCAGAGGAGUUCUCAAUGCCCCAUGUGCUGGCAGCCAAUUAGCUUGAAAGAUCCAACAAGCCAGGAGUUGCUUGAGGCAGUUGUACGUGAAAGGAAUUUUAGGUUCAAUCCCUCUAGAAAUGCAACCAUAUUUCAUCAUCCAACUCUGGGGGAUUUUGAACUACAACAUCUGCCUGUGGGGGCUAAUGAUGCUGAGCUUGAGGAGCGUAUAAUCCAGCACUUGGCUGCUGCUGCUGCAAUGGGGCGAGCACGUCACAUUGCAAGAAGGGAAGGUCUGAGGAAUAGGUCAACUGCUCAAGGUCGUCCACAGUUCUUGGUAUUUUCAGCUCAUCCUAAUGCACCCUCUAGUGGUCCUUUAUCUUCAUUGUCACCAACUCAGAGAGAAGGUCAGCCAGCCCCCGCAAUUGCUGUUGGCACUCCUUCCUCUCCUGCAACAACAGUGGGGGAAGAAUCUUCGGUAUCAAUUACUCCUGUACCUUCUGCCCGAGCUGAUCAGCAGUCUGCCUCAGCAUCUGGCUCCAGUGUUCUUUUGGUCAAUGAUCAAGGGAAUCCCUUGAACAAUAGGUCUCCUAAUCAGUCAUCUCCUAAUAGUCAAGAUAGAGCAGGACCUUCAGAAUUCCAGUCAUUUUCAGAAUCAUUAAAAGCGAGGUUUAAUGCCGUUUCGAUGAGAUACAAGGAGUCGAUUUCAAAGAGUACAAGGGGGUGGAAGGAGAGAUUUUUCUCUCGCAACACUUCCAUGGCAGAUCUUGGUUCUGAAGUUAGGAGAGAGGUUAAUGCUGGCAUUGCAACAGUCUCGCGCAUGAUGGAGCAUCUAGAAACCAGAGAUAGUGGAACGAGCACGGCUACUGUAUCAAGCAGUUUGGAAGAUAGGUCUAAUCCAGAAUCAAAUAACCACCAGAUAUCAGAUGCUGGUGGAGAAACUCCUUUGACUGAAACCAGUGCACAAGCCUCAUGUGCUGCUAGUUCUGCUUCCAAUUAAAUAACGUAAAUUUGGAUACUGACUGUACCAGACAUGAACAUUGCAAUAGCAUGCUGAUAAAAAUAUGUUUUUGAUGGAUGUGUUGCCCUCCUUUUCCAGCCAUUCUUUAUAUCCUUGGACAUCUGAAGAGAUCAGUUGGUGAUCGAGAACUGAUUCAGAAUAAAAUAUGCUGAAAAAAAAAAGUUAUAUUUGUCGUGAACAGAUUAUGUAAAUCAGUUUAUAUUCUUAACUUUAUUUAUGAAUAUAUAAUUCUAGGCGAAGUGUUGAAAAUCUUGAAGAUGGGACAAAUUCUAGCUUGAUGAGCUUUCAUGAGGAUUAUACACCUUUUAACAAGCACACACGAACAUUAUCCCUGUAAUAAUAUUGCUUCUUAGUACCUUGAUUCGGGGAGCUUUGUUCUGUUAUAACGCUGUUAAAUGCUGUUCAGAUUUUCAACACAAUAUGUGGUACUCUAUAACUUACGAAUAUAUAAAAAUCGAUAGUGAUUGGUGUCUCAAUAAACUUUAAUAAAAGAAAUAUUCCACCAUUUAGCUACAAUUUGACGAUAUACCAAAUUGAGUUUCAAGCGGAAGUAACGAGCAAUGAUGACCUGCCUAGAAUGCCGACCCUAUGUGGCAGAUGACUGCCGAGUCUCCACCAAUCGAAGGUUUUUUAUGAAAGUAAAAUUGGGAUGAUCAGAUGGCAACAGAACGUCUUGCUUCACACCUGAUGGAAAGCCUCUUGUUAAGUACUGCCAAGUUUUUGUCAGCAGGAGUAGGUUGAACGACAAGUUUAAAUGAUAGAACAAUGCCUUGAG
Molecule: non-coding RNA, 2207 nt
Organism: Durio zibethinus
Lineage: Eukaryota; Viridiplantae; Streptophyta; Magnoliopsida; Malvales; Malvaceae
Source: RefSeq, a predicted model, not a curated record